GAUGAACGCUAGCUACAGGCUUAACACAUGCAAGUCGCGGGGCAGCAUGGGGGUCGCUUGCAAUCCCCGAUGGCGACCGGCGCACGGGUGAGUAACGCGUAUCCAACCUGCCCUUCACCACGGGAUAACCCGGCGAAAGUCGGACUAAUACCGUAUGUUGUCCAUUGACGGCAUCCGAUUUGGACGAAAGGUUUGGCGGUGAAGGAUGGGGAUGCGUCCGAUUAGCUGGACGGCAGGGUGACGGCCCACCGUGGCGACGAUCGGUAGGGGUUCUGAGAGGAAGGUCCCCCACACUGGAACUGAGACACGGUCCAGACUCCUACGGGAGGCAGCAGUGAGGAAUAUUGGUCAAUGGGCGUAAGCCUGAACCAGCCAAGUAGCGUGCAGGAUGACGGCCCUAUGGGUUGUAAACUGCUUUUAUGCGGGGAUAAAGUGGCCCACGUGUGGGUUUUUGCAGGUACCGCAUGAAUAAGGACCGGCUAAUUCCGUG
Molecule: ribosomal RNA, 490 nt
Filed under: uncultured bacterium
Lineage: Bacteria
Description: partial 16S ribosomal RNA
Rfam family: Bacterial small subunit ribosomal RNA
Source: RNAcentral